Molecule: ribosomal RNA, 253 nt
Filed under: uncultured bacterium
Lineage: Bacteria
Description: partial 16S ribosomal RNA
Rfam family: Bacterial small subunit ribosomal RNA
Source: RNAcentral
UACGUAGGGUGCAAGCGUUAAUCGGAAUUACUGGGCGUAAAGCGUGCGCAGGCGGUUCUAUAAGACAGCUGUGAAAUCCCCGGGCUCAACCUGGGAACUGCAUUUGUGACUGUAGAGCUGGAGUACGGUAGAGGGGGAUGGAAUUCCGCGUGUAGCAGUGAAAUGCGUAGAUAUGCGGAGGAACACCGAUGGCGAAGGCAAUCCCCUGGACCUGUACUGACGCUCAUGCACGAAAGCGUGGGGAGCAAACAGG